This 702-nucleotide ribosomal RNA is filed under the name Artomyces nothofagi. RNAcentral describes it as "eukaryotic LSU rRNA". The stretch from base 250 to 403 matches the Rfam family "5.8S ribosomal RNA". Lineage: Eukaryota; Fungi; Basidiomycota; Agaricomycetes; Russulales; Auriscalpiaceae. The record is from RNAcentral.
UAGAGGAAGUAAAAGUCGUAACAAGGUUUCCGUAGGUGAACCUGCGGAAGGAUCAUUACAGUAAAACAAAGGUCGCGUGCAGCUGCUGGCCCUCCGGGGCAUGUGCGCGCCGCGUCCGCAUCCUUCUCACACCCCCCUGUGCACCUUUGCGUGGGGUGCCGUCGGCCGCCGCCUUCGGUGCUCCGCGUCUUCUUACACACACCACGUAUGUCUUCAGAAUGUACUUGCGAUAAAAAGCAAAUCUAAUACAACUUUCAACAACGGAUCUCUUGGCUCUCGCAUCGAUGAAGAACGCAGCGAAAUGCGAUAAGUAAUGUGAAUUGCAGAAUUCAGUGAAUCAUCGAAUCUUUGAACGCACCUUGCGCCCCUUGGUAUUCCGAGGGGCACGCCUGUUUGAGUGUCGUGAACUUCUCACCCCCACCCCCUUUCUUUGAAGGGCUGGCUUUGGGGUGUGGAAAUGGAGGCCUUGCCGGAAUCCUGUCAACGGGAAUCGGCUCCUCUGAAAUGCAUGAGUGGAGACCCCAGUGUUGGCCUUUGGUGUGAUAAUUGUCUACGCCAUAGGGCUGCGCGUCGUGGGACCUGCUUCUAACUUGCCGUCGUCGUCGUCUGACUCUUUGCAGAGAAAGGGGGGCGUGCGUGGCUUUUAUCGAAACUUGACCUCAAAUCAGGCGGGACUACCCGCUGAACUUAAGCAUAUCAAUA